This 1356-nucleotide ribosomal RNA is filed under the name uncultured marine eukaryote. Its description in RNAcentral is "SSU rRNA". It matches the Rfam family "Eukaryotic small subunit ribosomal RNA", at positions 411 to 1779 of the family's 1831-position model. The record is from RNAcentral.
CACUUCUAAGGAAGGCAGCAGGCGCGCAAAUUACCCAAUCCUGACUCAGGGAGGUAGUGACAAGAAAUAACAAUAAACCGGCUUAUGCCGGUUUAAUUGGAAUGAGUACAAUUUAAACAUCUUAACGAGGAACAAUUGGAGGGCAAGUCUGGUGCCAGCAGCCGCGGUAAUUCCAGCUCCAAUAGCGUAUACUAAAGUUGUUGCAGUUAAAAAGCUCGUAGUUGGAUUUCUGUGGGGACGGAGCGGCCGGCCGCACAUCGCGGUUCGAGCUAGCGCUUUCCCUACAUCCUGCCGCGAACCGUGCUACCAUUAGUUUGGUGGUGCCGGGGAUCGGCUCGAUUACUUUGAGAAAAAUAGAGUGUUCAAAGCAGGCCACACGCCUUGAAUAAGUUAGCAUGGAAUAAUAACUAAGGACUUCGGUUCUAUUUUGUUGGUGUUCGGGACUGAAGUAAUGAUUGAUAGGGACAGUUGGGGCGGUCUGUAUUCCAAAGCGAGAGGUGAAAUUCUUAGACCUUCGGAAGACAAACAGCUGCGAAAGCGUUCCGCAAGGAUGCUCCCUUUGAUCAAGAACGAAAGUUGGGGGAUCGAAGACGAUCAGAUACCGUCGUAGUCUCAACUAUAAACUAUACCAGCUAGGGAUCGGCCAACGUUAUUCUAUACCGACUUGGUCGGCACCUUAUGAGAAAUCAAAGCAUCUGGGUUCCGGGGGGAGUAUGGUCGCAAGGCUGAAACUUAAAGGAAUUGACGGAAGGGCACCACCAGCCGUGGAGCCUGUGGCUUAAUUUGACUCAACACGGGAAAACUUACCAGGUCCAGACAUAGUAAGGAUUGACAGAUUGAUAGCUCUUUCUUGAUUCUGUGGGUGGUGGUGCAUGGCCGUUCUUAGUUGGUGGAGUGAUUUGUCUGGUUAAUUCCGUUAACGAACGAGACCCCAGCCUGCUAAAUAGCGCGUGUGAGCUUUGCUCGCAGCGAGCUUCUUAGAGGGACUAUGAUGCGCGAUAGCACAUGGAAGUUUGGGGCAAUAACAGGUCUGUGAUGCCCUUAGAUGUUCUGGGCCGCACACGGGCUACACUGGCGCCUGCAACGAGCAUAUCAGCUGGCCCGAGAGGGUCUUGGCUAAUCUUUUGAACCGGCGCCGUGCUUGGGAUUGACCUUUGCAAUUGUUGGUCAUGCAACGAGGAAUGCCUUGUAAACGCGAGUCAUCAGCUCGCAUUGAAUACGUCCCUGCCCUUUGUACACACCGCCCGUCGCUCCUACCGAUGAAUGUUCCGAUGAAAUUUUCGGAGAGCACCUGUGGACUUGGCUCUGCCUUGCGAACGGGAGGCUCAAAGUCACUUAAAUCUGAACAUUUCGAGG